CUCUUGCAACAGUUUGAUAAAUACCUUAAACUCAUCUUCACUCCUUUUCACCGUAUUUGUUCCCUUAUCGCUAUCACUAUCAGUCGUCUUAUCCCUGUCAUUAUUUUUCACACUCCCGCGUCCAACAUCCAUCUCCCCAACUUCACUUCCUGAUCCGUCAUUACCUAACUCCUGACCAUUCACAGCCCAGUUGUUGGCAACCGCCUGAAGCUCACUGCCAACAGACACACGUCUUUGCUCCUUUCCUCCAGAAGCACUCAUCGUCUUGCCUGCUCUGCUCUCUUCCAACGCCCUGCUCUGGACCUAUACCCAUUGUCAACCUCGACAUGGUUCCUUUGGGGAGGCAGGGGCCCAGAUAGACCAGUAUCUGGAGUGGCUCAGAGAAUACGGCCAGGCCUUCUUCUAUGGGCUUCCUGUCAAGUUGCUGCCAGCGGUUGCUGUGGCUAAAACUAGUUCGUUCAGGGUUAACAGCAAUUCACACAACCUUCAGAUCUUCACUGGAAACCAAAAGAUGCUUUUUGUAUCAUUGGAAUCACAUUGAUUGACCUCUACCCCAAUGACUCGUGGAACUUUGUCUUUGGAAAGGCUUCUCUUAGUGAGGACCUUACUGCACUGGAUGGAGGGUGAUCAGAGUCAAACACCCAGACCAGAGGAGGCCUCUGCCUGUCAAUAUGUGCUCCACUUUCCAAAACCCACCGAAGCCUUUCAGACAUCCAGACUGCGGCUCCGCAGGUGUCUGGACGUACUGGGGGGAAAAGAUUAACUAUAGUACCUGUCCAUAAAUCAGGAUACGAUCAGGAAAGAAACCAAACAGCUCUGACCUCUUUAAGAUACCAUUUAAAAAUAUGAGCUUAACAUUUCUGCUGCUGUUUGAUUACAAAGCAAGGCAGAAUGAAAUGCUGAGUUCAGGUAAGUAUGUUAUAAAUCUAAAUUAAAGAUGCAAUAUGUACAUGAAAUAUUUUUAUAUUUUUAAGUGUAUACAAAUUUUUUCCAUAAUUAUGUGACAAAUACAAAAGUAGUUGAAUAAGUUGCUUUAAGGUUGAAGUUUAUAGAAAUAAAACCCUUAAACAUGA
This is a long non-coding RNA of Perca flavescens (yellow perch), 1073 nucleotides long. RefSeq lists it as uncharacterized. The record is from RefSeq and is a predicted model, not a curated record. Lineage: Eukaryota; Metazoa; Chordata; Actinopteri; Perciformes; Percidae. The transcript has 4 exons.